RNAcentral lists this ribosomal RNA (491 nucleotides) under uncultured bacterium. RNAcentral's name for it is "partial 16S ribosomal RNA". It matches the Rfam family "Bacterial small subunit ribosomal RNA", at positions 29 to 507 of the family's 1533-position model. The record is from RNAcentral.
AUUGAACGCUGGCGGCAUGCUUUACACAUGCAAGUCGAACGGUUACAGGCCUUCGGGUGCUGACGAGUGGCGAACGGGUGAGUAAUGCAUCGGAACGUACCCAGAGGUGGGGGAUAACGCAGCGAAAGCUGUGCUAAUACCGCAUGUGAUCUGAGGAUGAAAGCGGGGGACCGAGCAGCAAUGUUUGGCCUCGCGCCUUUGGAGCGGCCGAUGUCGGAUUAGCUAGUUGGUGGGGUAAAGGCCUACCAAGGGGACGAUCCUUAGCUGGUCUGAGAGGACAACAGGCCACCGGGGAAUGAGACACCGGCCAGACCCCUAAGGGAAGGCGCAGGGGGGGAUUUUUGAAAAUGGGGCGCAACCUGAACCAAGAAUGGCGGCUGGGGGAAGGAGGGCUUCGGGUUUGAAAACGGUUUUGGGAGGAAAGAAAAGGUGUUCCCUAAAAACCGGGCGUAAUGGCGGUUCCUGCAGAAUAAGCACCGGCUAACUACGUG